CGGUAGCACGUAGGAGCUUGCUCCCUUGCUGACGAGUGGCGGACGGGUGAGUAAUGCUUGGGAAUCUGGCUUAUGGAGGGGGAUAACUACUGGAAACGGUAGCUAAUACCGCGUAAUAUCGAGAGAUUAAAGGGUGGGACUUUCGGGCCACCUGCCAUAAGAUGAGCCCAAGUGGGAUUAGGUAGUUGGUGGGGUAAAGGCCUACCAAGCCUGCGAUCUCUAGCUGGUCUGAGAGGAUGGCCAGCCACACUGGAACUGAGACACGGUCCAGACUCCUACGGGAGGCAGCAGUGGGGAAUAUUGCACAAUGGGGGGAACCCUGAUGCAGCCAUGCCGCGUGAAUGAAGAAGGCCUUCGGGUUGUAAAGUUCUUUCGGUGAUGAGGAAGGCAGGUAUUUUAAUAGAAUACUUGAUUGACGUUAGUCACAGAAGAAGCACCGGCUAACUCCGUGCCAGCAGCCGCGGUAAUACGGAGGGUGCGAGCGUUAAUCGGAAUAACUGGGCGUAAAGGGCACGCAGGCGGAUUGUUAAGUGAGAUGUGAAAGCCCCGAGCUUAACUUGGGAAUUGCAUUUCAGACUGGCAGUCUAGAGUAUUUUAGGGAGGGGUAGAAUUCCACGUGUAGCGGUGAAAUGCGUAGAGAUGUGGAGGAAUACCGAAGGCGAAGGCAGCCCCUUGGGAA
RNAcentral lists this ribosomal RNA (679 nucleotides) under Pasteurellaceae bacterium I37. Its description in RNAcentral is "bacterial SSU rRNA". It matches the Rfam family "Bacterial small subunit ribosomal RNA", at positions 67 to 735 of the family's 1533-position model. The record is from RNAcentral. Lineage: Bacteria; Pseudomonadati; Pseudomonadota; Gammaproteobacteria; Pasteurellales; Pasteurellaceae.